Molecule: ribosomal RNA, 254 nt
Filed under: uncultured bacterium
Lineage: Bacteria
Description: partial 16S ribosomal RNA
Rfam family: Bacterial small subunit ribosomal RNA
Source: RNAcentral
UACGUAGGGUGCGAGCGUUGUCCGGAAUUAUUGGGCGUAAAGAGCUCGUAGGCGGUUUGUCGCGUCGGCUGUGAAAACUGGGGGCUCAACCCCUGGCCUGCAGUCGAUACGGGCAGACUAGAGUUCGGUAGGGGAGACUGGAAUUCCUGGUGUAGCGGUGAAAUGCGCAGAUAUCAGGGAGGAACACCGGUGGCGAAGGCGGGUCUCUGGGCCGAAACUGACGCUGAGGAGCGAAAGCGUGGGGAGCGAACAGG